ACUAGAUCCGUAACACCACCGCCU
RNAcentral lists this non-coding RNA (24 nucleotides) under Arabidopsis thaliana (thale cress). The record is from RNAcentral. Lineage: Eukaryota; Viridiplantae; Streptophyta; Magnoliopsida; Brassicales; Brassicaceae.